Molecule: transfer RNA, 67 nt
Filed under: Marmota monax (woodchuck)
Lineage: Eukaryota; Metazoa; Chordata; Mammalia; Rodentia; Sciuridae
Description: tRNA.Ala
Source: RNAcentral
GGUUGUAGUUCAGUGGUAGAGCACUUGCCUAGCAAGUGUGAGACACUGGGUUUGAUCCUCAGCACCA